UAUAAACCAAAUCAUUUAAAAAUAGAAGUAUUGGAGAAAGAACCUAUCGCUAGGCGCUAUAGAGAUAGUACCGCAAGGGAAUGAUGAAAGACAAAUUUAAAGUAAAAGACAGCAAAGAUUAAACCUUGUACCUUUUGCAUAAUGAGUUAGCUAGAAAUUUUCUAACUAAGAGAACUUUAGCUAGAGACCCCGAAACCAAGCGAGCUACCCGAGAGCAGUCUUUAGGACGCACCCGUCUAUGUGGCAAAAUAGUGGGAUGACUUUCGAGUAGAGGUGAAAAGCCUACCGAGCCUGGUGAUAGCUGGUUACCCACCUAAUGAAUUUUAGUUCAAUUUUAAGCCUGCCACAAGAAACCUUAAUCUUAAUGCAAGCUUAAAAUUUAAUCUAAAGAGGGACAGCUCUUUAGAUAUGGAUACAACCUGAGAUAGUGAAUAAGCCCUCUUCCUAGCCCAUUGUUGGCCUAGGAGCAGCCAUCAAUAAAGAAAGCGUUCAAGCUCAAAGCCUUAUUUUCCAUAAUUCCUUUAUUCUCAAGCGAUUUCCUAGCCCCCUAAGUGGGUUAAUCUAUCACUUUAUAGAUGAGAUACUGCUAGCAUGAGUAACAAGAAUCUUAUUCUCCUCGCACAAACGUAUAACAAACCGGAUGCCCAUUGUUAAUUAACAUACUUAAGGUGCUUAAUUUAUACAUAAAACCCACCUUGACCUCUAUGUUAACCCGACACAGGAGUGCACAAAGGAAAGAUUAAAAGAAAUAAAAGGAACUCGGCAAACACGAACCCCGCCUGUUUACCAAAAACAUCACCUCUAGCAUCACAAGUAUUAGAGGCACUGCCUGCCCAGUGACUAACGUUAAACGGCCGCGGUAUCCUGACCGUGCAAAGGUAGCAUAAUCACUUGUUCCUUAAUUAGGGACUAGAAUGAAUGGCCAAACGAGGGUUCAACUGUCUCUUAUUUCUAAUCAGUGAAAUUGACCUCCCCGUGAAGAGGCGGGGAUAUUCUUAUAAGACGAGAAGACCCUGUGGAGCUUUAAUCUCUUAGUUUAAUUUUUUCCUUCUGACCCCUAAUGGCAUAAAAAUUAAAAUAUAAACUAAUGAUUUCGGUUGGGGUGACCUCGGAGAACAAAAAAACCUCCGAAUGAUUUUAACCUAGACCCACAAGUCUAAGUACCCUUCAUCUAAUUGACCCAAUAUCUUUUGAUCAACGGACCAAGUUACCCCAGGGAUAACAGCGCAAUCCAAUUCUAGAGUUCAUAUCGACAAUUAGGGUUUACGACCUCGAUGUUGGAUCAGGACAUCCCAAUGGUGCAGAAGCUAUUAAAGGUUCGUUUGUUCAACGAUUAAAGUCCUACGUGAUCUGAGUUCAGACCGGAGUAAUCCAGGUCGGUUUCUAUCUAUAUACAAUUUCUCCCAGUACGAAAGGACAAGAGAAAUGGAGCCACCUUGCCCCAAGCGCUCCCUGGAUAUAUAUGAAACUUUCUUAAUAUAAAAAACAUGUAAUAUUAUAC
RNAcentral lists this ribosomal RNA (1501 nucleotides) under Sigmodon hispidus (hispid cotton rat). RNAcentral's name for it is "16S ribosomal RNA". It matches the Rfam family "Bacterial large subunit ribosomal RNA", at positions 187 to 2818 of the family's 2925-position model. Lineage: Eukaryota; Metazoa; Chordata; Mammalia; Rodentia; Cricetidae. The record is from RNAcentral.